GAUGAAGAACGCAGCGAAAUGCGAUAAGUAAUGUGAAUUGCAGAAUUCAGUGAAUCAUCGAAUCUUUGAACGCACAUUGCGCCCCUUGGUAUUCCGAGGGGCAUGCCUGUUCGAGCGUCAUAUUAACCACUCCCGCUUGCGGGGUCUUGGGCUUCGCCUCCGGGCGGGCCUUAAAAUCAGUGGCGGUGCCGUCGGGCUCUACGCGUAGUAAAUUUUCUCGCGAUAGGGUCCCGGUGGAUGCUUGCCAACAACCCCCAACUUCUUAAGGUUGACCUCGGAUCAGGUAGGGAUACCCGCUGAACUUAAGCAUAUCAAUAACGGAGGA
RNAcentral lists this unclassified non-coding RNA (325 nucleotides) under soil metagenome. RNAcentral describes it as "partial contains 5.8S ribosomal RNA, internal transcribed spacer 2, and large subunit ribosomal RNA". The stretch from base 1 to 120 matches the Rfam family "5.8S ribosomal RNA", at positions 35 to 154 of the family's 154-position model. The record is from RNAcentral.